Molecule: ribosomal RNA, 496 nt
Filed under: Streptomyces sp.
Lineage: Bacteria; Bacillati; Actinomycetota; Actinomycetes; Kitasatosporales; Streptomycetaceae
Description: bacterial SSU rRNA
Rfam family: Bacterial small subunit ribosomal RNA
Source: RNAcentral
AACGAUGAACCUCCUUCGGGAGGGGAUUAGUGGCGAACGGGUGAGUAACACGUGGGCAAUCUGCCCUUCACUCUGGGACAAGCCCUGGAAACGGGGUCUAAUACCGGAUAUGACACACGGAGGCAUCUUCUGUGUGUGGAAAGCUCCGGCGGUGAAGGAUGAGCCCGCGGCCUAUCAGCUUGUUGGUGAGGUAAUGGCUCACCAAGGCGACGACGGGUAGCCGGCCUGAGAGGGCGACCGGCCACACUGGGACUGAGACACGGCCCAGACUCCUACGGGAGGCAGCAGUGGGGAAUAUUGCACAAUGGGCGAAAGCCUGAUGCAGCGACGCCGCGUGAGGGAUGACGGCCUUCGGGUUGUAAACCUCUUUCAGCAGGGAAGAAGCGAAAGUGACGGUACCUGCAGAAGAAGCGCCGGCUAACUACGUGCCAGCAGCCGCGGUAAUACGUAGGGCGCGAGCGUUGUCCGGAAUUAUUGGGCGUAAAGAGCUCGUAGG